UACGGGAGGCAGCAGUGGGGAAUAUUGCACAAUGGGCGCAAGCCUGAUGCAGCCAUGCCGCGUGUAUGAAGAAGGCCUUCGGGUUGUAAAGUACUUUCAGCGGGGAGGAAGGCGAUGUGGUUAAUAACCGCGUCGAUUGACGUUACCCGCAGAAGAAGCACCGGCUAACUCCGUGCCAGCAGCCGCGGUAAUACGGAGGGUGCAAGCGUUAAUCGGAAUUACUGGGCGUUAAAGCGCACGCAGGCGGUCUGUUAAGUCAGAUGUGAAAUCCCCGGGCUUAACCUGGGAACUGCAUUUUGAAACUGGCAGGCUUGAGUCUCGUAGAGGGGGUAGAAUUCCAGGUGUAGCGGUGAAAUGCGUAGAGAUCUGGAGGAAUACCGGUGGCGAAGGCGGCCCCCUGGGACGAAGACUGACGCGUCAGGUGCGAAAGCGUGGGGAGCAAACAGGGAUUAAU
Molecule: ribosomal RNA, 454 nt
Filed under: uncultured bacterium
Lineage: Bacteria
Description: bacterial SSU rRNA
Rfam family: Bacterial small subunit ribosomal RNA
Source: RNAcentral